UACGUAGGGCGCAAGCGUUAUCCGGAAUUAUUGGGCGUAAAGAGCUCGUAGGCGGUUCGUCGCGUCGGCUGUGAAAACCUGAGGCUCAACCUCAGGCCUGCAGUCGAUACGGGCGGACUUGAGUACUGCAGGGGAGACUGGAAUUCCUGGUGUAGCGGUGAAAUGCGCAGAUAUCAGGAGGAACACCGGUGGCGAAGGCGGGUCUCUGGGCAGUAACUGACGCUGAGGAGCGAAAGCGUGGGGAGCGAACAGG
RNAcentral lists this ribosomal RNA (253 nucleotides) under uncultured bacterium. RNAcentral describes it as "partial 16S ribosomal RNA". It matches the Rfam family "Bacterial small subunit ribosomal RNA", at positions 524 to 776 of the family's 1533-position model. The record is from RNAcentral.